RNAcentral lists this ribosomal RNA (497 nucleotides) under uncultured bacterium. Its description in RNAcentral is "partial 16S ribosomal RNA". It matches the Rfam family "Bacterial small subunit ribosomal RNA", at positions 28 to 507 of the family's 1533-position model. The record is from RNAcentral.
GAUGAACGCUGGCGGCGUGCCUAAUACAUGCAAGUCGAGCGAACAGACGAGGAGCUUGCUCCUCUGACGUUAGCGGCGGACGGGUGAGUAACACGUGGAUAACCUACCUAUAAGACUGGGAUAACUUCGGGAAACCGGAGCUAAUACCGGAUAAUAUAUUGAACCGCAUGGUUCAAUAGUGAAAGACGGUUUUGCUGUCACUUAUAGAUGGAUCCGCGCCGCAUUAGCUAGUUGGUAAGGUAACGGCUUACCAAGGCGACGAUGCGUAGCCGACCUGAGAGGGGGAUCGGCCACACUGGAACUGAGCCACGGUCCAGACUCCUACGGGAGGCAGCAGUAGGGAAUCUUCCGCAAUGGGCGAAAGCCUGACGGAGCAACGCCGCGUGAGUGAUGACGGUCUUCGGAUCGUAAAACUCUGUUAUUAGGGAAGAACAAAUGUGUAAGUAACUAUGCACGUCUUGACGGUACCUAAUCAGAAAGCCACGGCUAACUACGUG